Molecule: long non-coding RNA, 596 nt
Organism: Myotis brandtii (Brandt's bat)
Lineage: Eukaryota; Metazoa; Chordata; Mammalia; Chiroptera; Vespertilionidae
Exons: 3
Source: RefSeq, a predicted model, not a curated record
CGCAGCCGCGGGGAUUGUGGGAAAUGUAGUUCGGCCACGCCGCCCUCCGCGCCUCCUGUAAUGGCUGCUUCCUGGAAGGCGCUGUCACGUGGAACCUCUUAGCCUCCGCAUUCCGAACGCCAGGAAGGGGGUGUUUCAAGUCCCGUAGAGUUCCACAGAUAUCCAUUCUUUGAAACCUUCAGCUCUCAAGAUCCAGCCAUCUCAAGGCCCCAACAUCAUGACCUCGGUUUCAGCACAGCUGUUCAUAGUCCUCCUUUCACUGCUCUUGGUGCUGCCUGCUGUUGAAGCAGUAGAAGCUGGAGAUGCAAUCGCUCUUUUCUUAGGUGUGGUUCUCUGCAUUACAGGCAUCUGUGCUUGUUUGGGAGUAUAUGCACGAAAGAGAAAUGGAGAGGUGUGACUUUGAAGGGCCUCCUGAAUCAAGCCUUGCCCUGAAAACAUUUGAGCUAUUCCCGUUAAAAACUGAGCUUUGGUGUCUGAAAGUUCCAAAGAAACAGUACAUAGGGUAAUUUUACAUUCUUAAGUUUCCCUACAAAUGGUAAUAAAUUGAUAUAUGUUAAAUGGAAAAAAAAUUCUUUUUUACAACAAAUAAUGCAAUG